CCUCACUCUCCAUCCAUAAUUCAGGACCCCUCUCUCUCUGUGAGUGUGUGUGUAUAUGUGUGCGCGCGCAUCUUCAUCCUCUCACACACUGCCUGUGUCUUGUGCAGCUGUCGAUGCAUCGGGCAGAAGAUCGUGCCGUAUAUAAGGGGGGGGGAUCUGUGAAAGCACACAGGCUGGAGAGGGGAUCCCAUUGAUCAGCGGGUAGAGAAACUCUUGCAGCUAAGCCUGAGAUUUGUGAACAGGUCAAGGAGACUGAAACCAGAGGUGAGUAGCUUUAUUCUACCUGUGUAAGGAU
This is a long non-coding RNA of Cyprinus carpio (common carp), 295 nucleotides long. NCBI's taxonomy places the organism in Eukaryota, Metazoa, Chordata, Actinopteri, Cypriniformes, Cyprinidae. The record is from Ensembl.